UGAGGUUGCCCUGUAAGAUAUGAUAAG
RNAcentral lists this small RNA (27 nucleotides) under Bombyx mori (domestic silkworm). RNAcentral's name for it is "ovarian small RNA-32238". The record is from RNAcentral. Lineage: Eukaryota; Metazoa; Arthropoda; Insecta; Lepidoptera; Bombycidae.